Molecule: ribosomal RNA, 475 nt
Filed under: uncultured bacterium
Lineage: Bacteria
Description: bacterial SSU rRNA
Rfam family: Bacterial small subunit ribosomal RNA
Source: RNAcentral
GGACGAACGCUGGCGGCAUGCCUAACACAUGCAAGUCGAACGGAGUAAUGACUUCGGUUAUACUAGUGGCGAACGGGUGAGUAACACGUGAAUAAUCUGCCCUGUACGAUGGGAUAACAGCUGGAAACGGCUGCUAAUACCGUAUAUGACCACGCCGAGGCAUCUCGGAGGGGUGAAAGCGCUUAAGCGGUACAGGAUGAGUUCGCGUCCAAUUAGCUAGUUGGUGAGGUAACGGCCCACCAAGGCGACGAUUGGUAGCCGACCUGAGAGGGUGAUCGGCCACACUGGAACUGAGACACGGUCCAGACUCCUACGGGAGGCAGCAGUGGGGAAUAUUGGGCAAUGGAGGAAACUCCUACCCAAGCAAUGCCGCGUGAGUGAUGAAGGUCUUCGGAUUGUAAAGCUCUUUGAUUGGGGACGAAUAAAUGACGGUACCCAAGGAACAAGCCCCGGCUAACUAUGUGCCAGCCGCCGC